Molecule: ribosomal RNA, 253 nt
Filed under: uncultured bacterium
Lineage: Bacteria
Description: partial 16S ribosomal RNA
Rfam family: Bacterial small subunit ribosomal RNA
Source: RNAcentral
UACGUAGGGGGCAAGCGUUGUCCGGAAUCAUUGGGCGUAAAGCGCGUGUAGGCGGCUCGAUAAGUCUGCUGUGAAAGUCCAGGGCUCAACCCUGGGAUGCCGGUGGAUACUGUCGAGCUCGAGUCCGGAAGAGGCGAGUGGAAUUCCUGGUGUAGCGGUGAAAUGCGCAGAUAUCAGGAGGAACACCAAUGGCGAAGGCAGCUCGCUGGGACGGUACUGACGCUGAGACGCGAAAGCGUGGGGAGCAAACAGG